GACGAACGCUGGCGGCGUGCUUAACACAUGCAAGUCGAACGGAAAGGCCCAGCUUGCUGGGUACUCGAGUGGCGAACGGUGAGUAACACGUGGGUGAUCUGCCCCAAACUUCGGGAUAAGCCUGGGAAACUGGGUCUAAUACCGGAUAUGACCUGCUCCUGCAUGGGGGUUGGUGGAAAGCUUUUGCGGUUUGGGAUGGGCCCGCGGCCUAUCAGCUUGUUGGUGGGGUAAUGGCCUACCAAGGCGACGACGGGUAGCCGACCUGAGAGGGUGAUCGGCCACACUGGGACUGAGACACGGCCCAGACUCCUACGGGAGGCAGCAGUGGGGAAUAUUGCACAAUGGGCGCAAGCCUGAUGCAGCGACGCCGCGUGA
RNAcentral lists this ribosomal RNA (375 nucleotides) under uncultured bacterium. RNAcentral's name for it is "bacterial SSU rRNA". It matches the Rfam family "Bacterial small subunit ribosomal RNA", at positions 28 to 404 of the family's 1533-position model. The record is from RNAcentral.